Colossoma macropomum (tambaqui) is the source of this 200-nucleotide long non-coding RNA. RefSeq lists it as uncharacterized. The record is from RefSeq and is a predicted model, not a curated record. Lineage: Eukaryota; Metazoa; Chordata; Actinopteri; Characiformes; Serrasalmidae. The transcript is spliced from 3 exons.
AGCAACUGUAAGUGUCAACCGUAAACACGGAUAAACACUGCAGGCUAAUCGCAGCAACCACAGUUUGCAGCUUAUACGGACCAAAUCAGAGAAAACUUUAAAGAAGUUGACUAAGCUGGUUAACGAACCUGGAGCAGCAGUAAACCCAGAGAGAAGAACAGAGUCUGACAAACUGCAGUUCCUGUGCUGAUAGAUGCUGG